RNAcentral lists this transfer RNA (76 nucleotides) under Pseudonocardiales bacterium. RNAcentral describes it as "tRNA-Arg". It matches the Rfam family "tRNA". Rfam says of the family: Transfer RNA (tRNA) molecules are approximately 80 nucleotides in length. Their secondary structure includes four short double-helical elements and three loops (D, anti-codon, and T loops). Further hydrogen bonds mediate the characteristic L-shaped molecular structure. tRNAs have two regions of fundamental functional importance: the anti-codon, which is responsible for specific mRNA codon recognition, and the 3' end, to which the tRNAs corresponding amino acid is attached (by aminoacyl-tRNA synthetases). tRNAs cope with the degeneracy of the genetic code in two manners: having more than one tRNA (with a specific anti-codon) for a particular amino acid; and 'wobble' base-pairing, i.e. permitting non-standard base-pairing at the 3rd anti-codon position. Lineage: Bacteria; Bacillati; Actinomycetota; Actinomycetes; Pseudonocardiales. The record is from RNAcentral.
CUCCCCGUAGCUCAGUGGACAGAGUGGCCGAUUACGGAUCGGCAAGUCGCAGGUUCGAGUCCUGCCGGGGAGGCAA